This 301-nucleotide ribosomal RNA is filed under the name uncultured bacterium. Its description in RNAcentral is "partial 16S ribosomal RNA". It matches the Rfam family "Bacterial small subunit ribosomal RNA", at positions 509 to 807 of the family's 1533-position model. The record is from RNAcentral.
CAGUCGCCGCGGGAAUACGAAGGGUGCAAGCGUUACUCGGAAUUACUGGGCGUAAAGCGUGCGUAGGUGGUGGUUUAAGUCUGUUGUGAAAGCCCCGGGCUCAACCUGGGAAUGGCAAUGGAUACUGGCGAGCUAGAGUGUGUCAGAGGAUGGUGGAAUUCCCGGUGUAGCGGUGAAAUGCGUAGAGAUCGGGAGGAACAUCAGUGGCGAAGGCGGCCAUCUGGGACAACACUGACGCUGAGGCACGAAAGCGUGGGGAGCAAACAGGAUUAGAUACCCCCGUAGUCCCUGUCUCUUAUAC